Molecule: unclassified non-coding RNA, 1084 nt
Filed under: Leishmania donovani
Lineage: Eukaryota; Euglenozoa; Kinetoplastea; Trypanosomatida; Trypanosomatidae
Description: gene:LdHU3.26.2190(CDS-product:hypothetical_prote in_conserved)
Source: RNAcentral
AUACCCUGCAGUGAUCUUUACGAGCACGGCAAGCGCUCUCCUCUCCCUGCACCACCACCAUCAUCAUCAAACAAGGAAAAGACCACAGUCCCACUACACGCUGCACUACACGCAACUCAGCUGUAUCUCACUUCACACCUUGCCUCUGCUGCUCGCUACGCCCCCGACCCACUUACCAACUUACUCGAGCAGCACAAGAACGCAGGAACAAUGAAUCAGUACCACGAAAUCAUCGAGGCAGACAAGGCCUACCUGGAAGAGGUGGGCAUGCGCAACAUCCUGCAGCAGUUUGUGGCCGACGCCAUGGAGAGCCGACCCGGCAACGUCUAUGAGUACAUGAUUACGUGGGCCACGAAGAUACAGGCAUCGUCGAUUUCGCUGCUAAAGGGCAUCGAGCACAGCAACGAGGAGGAGGAUGCUACCGCAAAGACGCACCCUGAUGCCAGCGACCACUCGGAGCACGACACCCGAUUGGACGGAAGGUCACCGUCGUGGGCUCAUUCGUCGAAGCGCACCAGUUCCGUAGAGUAGAGGGCUUCCUCGCCUGCGGCAGCGGCCAAGUGAAAGGAGGCGGAGGGCGAGGAGGAGCUGUAGAAAGGGAGGUGAAGAAACGGGCGAGGCGAUAGUGCCCUCACGUGUGCGUCUGUGUGCGCGUGCUUUGUUCUGGUCAGCUGCGGAGCUUGUUCAGUUACAAAACGAGUUGGAUUCUUUCUCUGCGCCGUCUCUCUUGUGUCUCCUGCCGCCAGUUCAUGCGAUUCUGGAAGGCAUGUCCACCAUUCGCGGAUGCCAGUCCAAUCCUUGCGGCGGUGGCAACGGGAUCAGGAUGAGAGGGCGACUCGCUUCUCUCUUUCCCUUGCCGUUUUGCAUGUGGUAUCGUUGACCUCGUCAGUGCCCCUAAGACACGCUGUGCUUGAGCUGCAGGCCUGCGGCUGCUGCUGAUCACGUGGAAGAGCGUCCUGUUUUCUCUCCUCGUACACGCUGGUUCAGGCUCGUGUGCGUGUGUGUGUAUGGUUUCUUCCGGUUGCGCCUGUGAUGAUGUAUAAGCACUCGGCUUCCUCUGUGGCACGCGUGCCUACACACGUAC